RNAcentral lists this ribosomal RNA (2902 nucleotides) under Escherichia coli KTE161. RNAcentral's name for it is "bacterial LSU rRNA". It matches the Rfam family "Bacterial large subunit ribosomal RNA". The record is from RNAcentral. Lineage: Bacteria; Pseudomonadati; Pseudomonadota; Gammaproteobacteria; Enterobacterales; Enterobacteriaceae.
UUAAGCGACUAAGCGUACACGGUGGAUGCCCUGGCAGUCAGAGGCGAUGAAGGACGUGCUAAUCUGCGAUAAGCGUCGGUAAGGUGAUAUGAACCGUUAUAACCGGCGAUUUCCGAAUGGGGAAACCCAGUGUGUUUCGACACACUAUCAUUAACUGAAUCCAUAGGUUAAUGAGGCGAACCGGGGGAACUGAAACAUCUAAGUACCCCGAGGAAAAGAAAUCAACCGAGAUUCCCCCAGUAGCGGCGAGCGAACGGGGAGCAGCCCAGAGCCUGAAUCAGUGUGUGUGUUAGUGGAAGCGUCUGGAAAGGCGCGCGAUACAGGGUGACAGCCCCGUACACAAAAAUGCACAUGCUGUGAGCUCGAUGAGUAGGGCGGGACACGUGGUAUCCUGUCUGAAUAUGGGGGGACCAUCCUCCAAGGCUAAAUACUCCUGACUGACCGAUAGUGAACCAGUACCGUGAGGGAAAGGCGAAAAGAACCCCGGCGAGGGGAGUGAAAAAGAACCUGAAACCGUGUACGUACAAGCAGUGGGAGCACGCUUAGGCGUGUGACUGCGUACCUUUUGUAUAAUGGGUCAGCGACUUAUAUUCUGUAGCAAGGUUAACCGAAUAGGGGAGCCGAAGGGAAACCGAGUCUUAACUGGGCGUUAAGUUGCAGGGUAUAGACCCGAAACCCGGUGAUCUAGCCAUGGGCAGGUUGAAGGUUGGGUAACACUAACUGGAGGACCGAACCGACUAAUGUUGAAAAAUUAGCGGAUGACUUGUGGCUGGGGGUGAAAGGCCAAUCAAACCGGGAGAUAGCUGGUUCUCCCCGAAAGCUAUUUAGGUAGCGCCUCGUGAAUUCAUCUCCGGGGGUAGAGCACUGUUUCGGCAAGGGGGUCAUCCCGACUUACCAACCCGAUGCAAACUGCGAAUACCGGAGAAUGUUAUCACGGGAGACACACGGCGGGUGCUAACGUCCGUCGUGAAGAGGGAAACAACCCAGACCGCCAGCUAAGGUCCCAAAGUCAUGGUUAAGUGGGAAACGAUGUGGGAAGGCCCAGACAGCCAGGAUGUUGGCUUAGAAGCAGCCAUCAUUUAAAGAAAGCGUAAUAGCUCACUGGUCGAGUCGGCCUGCGCGGAAGAUGUAACGGGGCUAAACCAUGCACCGAAGCUGCGGCAGCGACGCUGAUGCGUUGUUGGGUAGGGGAGCGUUCUGUAAGCCUGCGAAGGUGUGCUGUGAGGCAUGCUGGAGGUAUCAGAAGUGCGAAUGCUGACAUAAGUAACGAUAAAGCGGGUGAAAAGCCCGCUCGCCGGAAGACCAAGGGUUCCUGUCCAACGUUAAUCGGGGCAGGGUGAGUCGACCCCUAAGGCGAGGCCGAAAGGCGUAGUCGAUGGGAAACAGGUUAAUAUUCCUGUACUUGGUGUUACUGCGAAGGGGGGACGGAGAAGGCUAUGUUGGCCGGGCGACGGUUGUCCCGGUUUAAGCGUGUAGGCUGGUUUUCCAGGCAAAUCCGGAAAAUCAAGGCUGAGGCGUGAUGACGAGGCACUACGGUGCUGAAGCAACAAAUGCCCUGCUUCCAGGAAAAGCCUCUAAGCAUCAGGUAACAUCAAAUCGUACCCCAAACCGACACAGGUGGUCAGGUAGAGAAUACCAAGGCGCUUGAGAGAACUCGGGUGAAGGAACUAGGCAAAAUGGUGCCGUAACUUCGGGAGAAGGCACGCUGAUAUGUAGGUGAAGUCCCUUGCGGAUGGAGCUGAAAUCAGUCGAAGAUACCAGCUGGCUGCAACUGUUUAUUAAAAACACAGCACUGUGCAAACACGAAAGUGGACGUAUACGGUGUGACGCCUGCCCGGUGCCGGAAGGUUAAUUGAUGGGGUUAGCGCAAGCGAAGCUCUUGAUCGAAGCCCCGGUAAACGGCGGCCGUAACUAUAACGGUCCUAAGGUAGCGAAAUUCCUUGUCGGGUAAGUUCCGACCUGCACGAAUGGCGUAAUGAUGGCCAGGCUGUCUCCACCCGAGACUCAGUGAAAUUGAACUCGCUGUGAAGAUGCAGUGUACCCGCGGCAAGACGGAAAGACCCCGUGAACCUUUACUAUAGCUUGACACUGAACAUUGAGCCUUGAUGUGUAGGAUAGGUGGGAGGCUUAGAAGUGUGGACGCCAGUCUGCAUGGAGCCGACCUUGAAAUACCACCCUUUAAUGUUUGAUGUUCUAACGUUGACCCGUAAUCCGGGUUGCGGACAGUGUCUGGUGGGUAGUUUGACUGGGGCGGUCUCCUCCUAAAGAGUAACGGAGGAGCACGAAGGUUGGCUAAUCCUGGUCGGACAUCAGGAGGUUAGUGCAAUGGCAUAAGCCAGCUUGACUGCGAGCGUGACGGCGCGAGCAGGUGCGAAAGCAGGUCAUAGUGAUCCGGUGGUUCUGAAUGGAAGGGCCAUCGCUCAACGGAUAAAAGGUACUCCGGGGAUAACAGGCUGAUACCGCCCAAGAGUUCAUAUCGACGGCGGUGUUUGGCACCUCGAUGUCGGCUCAUCACAUCCUGGGGCUGAAGUAGGUCCCAAGGGUAUGGCUGUUCGCCAUUUAAAGUGGUACGCGAGCUGGGUUUAGAACGUCGUGAGACAGUUCGGUCCCUAUCUGCCGUGGGCGCUGGAGAACUGAGGGGGGCUGCUCCUAGUACGAGAGGACCGGAGUGGACGCAUCACUGGUGUUCGGGUUGUCAUGCCAAUGGCACUGCCCGGUAGCUAAAUGCGGAAGAGAUAAGUGCUGAAAGCAUCUAAGCACGAAACUUGCCCCGAGAUGAGUUCUCCCUGACUCCUUGAGAGUCCUGAAGGAACGUUGAAGACGACGACGUUGAUAGGCCGGGUGUGUAAGCGCAGCGAUGCGUUGAGCUAACCGGUACUAAUGAACCGUGAGGCUUAACCUU